GCAAAAAUCUCUCCCACACGGUGUUUGAUUCCGCCGCCGAGAGAAACCUUUUACACACCACAGAGAGCCUGCAUGCCUCCAUAGGCCCAAUAAGCGAAACAACUUCUUCUAUGAUUUCCUCAGGUAGCUUUCCGAAUAAAUCAGCGUCGGCCAUCGGUGUUUAUACGUGAGAGGACGCCUUUGUUAUAAAGACUUGGUUUAUAUCCGCUCAUCUAAAUUAGAUGAGUGAGAGCGCUUUUUUAAUGCUAACAGAAAGUCUCACAACAAUUUUGAUUGAGGCUCUAGCCUCUAUGUAUACUGGGAUUUUAAUGCUCGCGGUGCUGGGCAGUUACUGUUUUUAAAUUGCUUAUAUACAUAUAAAUUAAUAUCUUAUAUUCGCGGUGAUAAUUUUAAUAAAAUUAAGUAAAUAAUUUUGCAUAUAUAUGAAUUAUUUUUCUCUUAUUAAAAGACUCAUUUUUCUCCUACUUUUCUUUUAUUAAAUUAAUUUGUGAAUGCAGCUCAAUAGUAUAUAAGAAAAUAGCGUUAAAUUCAUAUAUAAAAGUAACUAUUCAAAAUUGUCAUUAUUUAAGAGCAUCUCCAACCAUGAAGACCCCCUAGCUAAAAUAUGAGUUGUCAUGCCAAAAAUAAAAAAAAUUAGCCAAUCACUUUAAAAAUUCACACUCCAACCACAAUGACCUGUUGUCUAUAAAUUUAGCCAACCUCCAGUGGAUGGCUAAAUUUGUCGAACCUCUACAGGUCUGUAAGAAAUCUGUAGGAAGAUUGCACAUCAUUUAUUACCAUAUUGAGCUGAUAUAUUCUAUUUUAACAAUCUAAAAUAUUAAUAACAUGCUAUUUUUAAAUUAUAGCCAACCAAUAUAGCUAAUACCAUUGAAGAGAAAUGUCUUACAGGUUCAACAAAUUUUACAUAACGUCUUACAGGUCCAAUUUAGCCAACGAUUAUAGCCAACACCGUUGAACAUGCUCUUGUACCACGAAAUCUAAAUUUCAAUAAUAUGUUCUGUUCACCUGACAGAAGUUUUGGUUGGAUAAAUGGAGUGGGAAGAUGUGCCUCAAAAUGACAUAUGAAAUGCUCUCAAUCACACAGCUUGAAGCAGAUUACUGGACGAGAAGGUGAAAUUUUACUAUCAUUUUGUUUUUGGGCAAUAAUUACCUUUUGUUACUUAAGAGAUCUAUAUGCAUGUGUUGUAUGAUAAGUUUUUCAUAUGUUGUAAUUGUUAAAAACAGCGAAUACCAGUAUCCGGUGCUAGGUCAUGUGAUUUGGCUUGAAGUGUAUGGCAAAAUACCCACUUCAAGAUUGUUGGAAUAAUCUUAAACUUAUAAUUUUAAUUAUUUGUUUAAUUUUUAAUAUUAGCACCUGUUAGCCACGUCUAUGCAGUAAACCAAGUGUUUAGUUUGUUUUAGGUUGUUUAGGUGAGUCAUGGUGCAGUUAGGAGUUUGUUGGAGUAAUUCUGGGUGCAUGUUGUUGCUGAUUUGUAGGGAUUAGUUAUAUUAGGUGUAUUUAAAUUCCUAUGUUUGUUUUGAAGUUUAAGCCAACGAAAUAAUACUUACUUUCUUAAGUUCCAAAGAAAACAAGCUUGUCUAUUCUACGAAUAUUAGGACUUUUAUUUUCAACAUGGUAUCAGAGCGAGGUUUCUUUGUGGCAUAAUAAUAUGUUUUUUCAAGAAGCAGUUCCAGCUGAGAAGGUGGUUGCAGUAGACCAAAAUAUAAUACAUAAACUUUGAGGGGUCAUUGGGAUAAAGUGGUUAUCAGAAACUAAUAUACACAUUUGUUACCUCUCAAACAGUUAAAGUUAACGGUUGUUUUUAACGGGGUGGUAAGCCAUAGUUAGAGAUGAGCAGAAGUCAAACUAAAAAUUAAAACCGCACCAAAAAACUGCAAAAACCACACGAAAUAGCACCACAUAAAACCGCACUGAAUAAAAACCGAAUUGAGAUAAAACUGCACCGAUACUUUGAAUUUGGUUUUGGUUUCUAAAUAUUCUAAAAUAGGAUACAAAGUGAACCGAACCACAAUAAUAUUUAUAUUUAUUUAUUUAUUUUAUAUAUUUAUAUAUAAUAUAUAAAUUAUAUCUAUUAUAAAAUAUAUAAUUAUAUAUAUAGUAUGCACACAUGCUACACAGCACACUGUCCAGUCAGGUUUUACAUUUUACACUCGUUUUUGCCAGUCCAUUUUUUGUUGGGUUAAUCGGUUAGGCGUAUAGUGCAUCUUUACAGGUGAAAUUUAGGUGAACAAGUGAAGCCGGACAAGAUAAGAUGAAUAAAAUAGACUAGUUAUGGCUGUUGGCAUCUGAAUAUGCACUAGUCUAUCUGGUGCAUGUAAAAUAUGUCCGAAUACACUACUAUUUUCCGGUUAAGCUCUUUUAUUAUUUGAAUACUAGUUGAUAACCCGUGCUAAAUAUGGGUUUAAAUAAAAUUUUAAAAUUUAUUAUUUAUUAGAAGAAUAAUGUCAUUUUUAAAUUACUUAUCAUGUUUUUAUUAUAUCUAUUUAAAUUAUUGUUUAUAAAUCAUAUUUGAAUUAUUGUUAUUUUAUAUAAAACUUUCUUUGAGUUUCUAUUUGUCAAGUCAGUGUUACCACCGCCUUAUUCGUCUUUAUCGCAAAUCUUCUGAAAAACACUUAAUGAUAAUAAUUAUUAUUAUUAAAAAAUAUAUGACCAAGUUUUUUGGUACUUUGGUAUCAAUAUUGAAUCUUGUUUAUUUUAAUUAUGAAAUAUGAUAGAAAUUUUAUAUUUUUGUUUCAUAAAUUUAAUUGUAUGAGUUUUAAAAAUUAAAACGAAUAUUUGACGUAUGUAUAGAGUUUAGGUUCUUUUAUUAUAUGGUGUAAUAUGGAAAUUGACUUCUUUUUAUUUGAGUUUCUGUUUGUCAAGUCAGUGUUACCACCGCCUUAUUCGUCUUUAUCGCAAUCUUGAGAAAAAUACUGAAUGAUAAUUAUUAUUAUUAUUAAAAAAAUAUGACCAAGUUUUUUGGUACUUUGGUAUAAAUAUUAAAUCUUGUUUAUUUUAAUUCUGAAAUAUGAUAUAAAUUUUAUAGUUUUGUUUCGUAAAUUGAAUUGUAUGAGUUUUAAAAAUUAAAACGAAUAUUUGACGUAUGUCUAGAGUUUCGGUUCUUUUAUUAUAUGUUGCAAUAUGUAAGAUGACUUCAUUUUUUUUUGAGUUUCUAUUUGUCAAGUCAGUGUUAUCACCGCUUUAUUCGUCUUUAUCGCAAUCUUAUGAAAAACGCUGAAUGAUAAUAAUUAUUAUUAUUAAAAAAAUAUAUGACCAAGUUUUUUGGUACUUUAGUAUCAAUAUUGAAUCUUGUUUAUUUUAAUUCUGAAAUAAUGAUAGAAAUUUUAAAAAUUUAAAUUUAUGAUUUUUAAAAACUAAAAUGAAUAAUUUCGUUGACAUUAUUAUUCUAUUGAUAAGAUAUUAUAUUAAUAUCAAUAUGUACUCCUUAUUUAUAAUCAAUAUAGAAGUCUUUUCAUAAAAUUCUAAUCAAUUUAGAAGUAUUUCACUGUUCUAAUGAAUAUUGAGGUUUUUAAUAAUAAAAUUCUAUUUAAUAUAGAAGUCUUUUGACAAUAGUAUAAUAAUGAUUAUAAAAUCCUAAUCAAUAUGAAAGUGACCAAAUUUUGGUACUUUAGUACCGAUGUUCCACCGAAACGUGGUUUCGCUUAUUAAUAAAGGGUAUUGAUUGAUUACUGAUGGCAUACUUAUUAUAAAUUUGUUAAAGGUCCUAGCAUUCGAGAGUUUAUUGGACUUUUCACAGUUUGAAAACCAAAUCGCACCACGUAAAACCGAAUAAGAUUAUUUUUGAAGAUAAUUUGAAAUCUUAAUUGAAUAAGAUUUGAAUAUAUAUUUUAAAAUUCUAAUUGAAUAAACCUAUAUUUUAUGAAAGAAAAAAAUUCUACAAAAUCUCAAAUAAAUACACUCCAUCUAAUUUAGUAGGGUCCCGAACUGUCAUGAUGGGAUCAAUUUUUUUGAAAAUAAUUUGAUUGACUGAACUUGAAAUAGACAUUUAUGCUAGCGGAACUGUCCGGUCCGAUUUUCUAAAAAAAAUUGAUCCUUUUAUAUUUAAAUUUUAAAAAGUAAAUAUUAUAUUUGGUCCACAUUACAUCUAUAAAUAUUGUUAUUUCUCUAACGUUGUGGUCAUUUGGAUGGAACGGAACGAGAAAAGAAUGAAAUGAAAAAUUAUAAAAAAGUUUUGUGUUGAAUGAAAAAAAUAGGAGACAAUAGUGAUUAGAUAUGAGUGAAUCUAAUAUUCAAUUGAGAUUUUGUGGAUAGUUUUUAAUCUAUGGUUUAUAAUGGAUUGUAUGCGAUUCUGAUUUUGUACGCGUUCUUGAUAAAAUGUCGCAUAGUUGAUAUAGAUUCUUUAAUAUUUAAGCACAAUAUUUCAAAAUCUCAUGGAUUUUAGUGGGAUUUUAAAAACUUAAAAUAAACUGAACUAUGCCACAAAAUCUAUCAUUUUAUGAAAUCCAAAGAAAUCCAUCAACAUUUGAAUAUCAUCAGAUUUUAAUGGAUAUUAAACAAUCUCAAUUGAAUAUCAUGAGAUUUUUGAGCAUAAUUUAAAAACCUGAUUACCCUUAGAUUUUGUAGCAAAAUUUAAAAUUACAAUUGAAUACUUUAAGAUUUUAAUGAAUUUUAAACGAUCCUAAUUGAAUAUUCUCGAUUUUCAUGAAUGAAAAAAAUCUUUUAAAAUCCCAAUAAGAUAUAACCCUGUAAAUUUCUUAUGACGAAGAUUAUAGGAAAACAUGAUAAAGAAGUGGAAUGAUUGUUCUUUACAAAACAUAUGAGUUAUGUUUUUAGUGCAAAUAAUUAAAAUACGAUAAUUGAAAAAAUAAAAAUUAUAGACAUUUUUCAUUAUCACAUACAAUUUGGAAUAUAAAUUUCAUUCCGUUCUCUCUCCAUUCCAUUCCAUUUCAUUCGGUCUAAGUUAAUACAGUCUAAAAUUUUAAAAUUACAGCGAAAUCCAAAGUAGUUGGAUUGGUUAUCUUUAUUUCAUUUUAAUUUUGUUUAUGGUUCAACUGUUAAAGUUGAGUUUAAGUUUUUUUAAUAUAGGCUCUGUUUGGUAAUUAUCAGUUAGCUAUUAACUGUUAGUGGAUUGAAUUGGAUGUUCCGACUAGCUGAUUAAAAUAGAUGUUUUGACUAGCGGAUUGAAUUAAUAGUUUUUCGUAAAACUGUUUGAUAAAUAGCUGAUUGAUUAGUUUUUUCUAACACAAACCAAAACGUCUAACCCAAAAAAAAUUCUCAAAGUAGCUUUUUCAAAAUUAGAUUUUUGGAUCCAAGUCUCUGUUUCAAUCCAUUAACUAUCAACCAUUAAUAUUGAUGAAUUCUAGUGGUUAAAUCUAUAAGACACCUCAAAUAAUUUUGACGAAAACCUCUUAUAACUUCAACUAAAAAACUCAGGAGUUAUUUUGGUAUAUAUGUGUACUCCCUAGCUUUGAUCCUCAUCAAAUGUGCUUUCACUCUUGAAUAUGAGCCCGUAAACUCGUAAUUACAAAAAUUACAUUUUAUUCUUAUAUUUCCACCUCUUUCUCUUGAUUUUGUAAUUUUGGUCGCAUGUUUCCAUAGAAUGUCUUCACUUCCUGUUUUAAUACUUUGAGAAGCCUCUAAGCUUGAAGCUUAAUUGGUAGAUGAUUCCAUGACUAGAAAAAAAACAAAGAUAUAUAAAUUAAAUGUAAGGGCUAGUUGCUUGUUAGCAAGAGGUAGAAGCUCAGUCUAUAGCUCUACCGAACAAGGCGGUAGAAUGCUCAAAAUAACAAAGUUGGAAAAAAUGUCUUCAAAUAUCCGUCAGAGACGCGUGUUUGGCUGUUUCAAGAUGCUACACCGUGUAGCGUAUCGAAAGAGGAUGAUAUAGCGGAAGAUGAUAGAUAGAAAUAAGAGUGGAAUACCCGAAUAUGGCGGUGCGGCGCGGAUGAUCACGGUGGCUGAAUCGCGCCCUCAGUCGCUGUGCUUGAUAACUCCAGAUCCCGUUCCGGCCUUUUCUCCGCCUUGCUCCGUCGUCUUGCGGUGUAGCUGCUGGAUGGGUGCCUGCAAAACAACGCCGGAGGGGGGUUUGGACCCCGAGGCGCCUCCGGCGUGAGAGUAAGAGCGGGCUUGAAAGUAGUCGGACGGAAAAUGAGCUAUCUAUCAAUGUAGAGGGUGUGUGUAUGGUGGUUGCUUGAGUGGUUGUGUUUGCUGAAUAUAUUCAACAUAUAUAUUAAACCCCCCUCCGGCGUUGUUUUGCAGGCACCCAUCCAGCAGCUACACCGCAAGACGACGGAGCAAGGCGGAGAAAAGGCCGGAACGGGAUCUGGAGUUAUCAGUGCUCUUCUAUGCUUCUUCUGAUUAGGGCUUCAUGUAAAUUUAGGAAUUAAAAUACGUGACGGGUAUGUUUUUAUUAAAAGUCAAAAAUUAUCAUGUGAAAAAUUACCGUUUCUGCCUUUCUCGCACGGUGUAUCCCGGUACAAGUGCAGGGGGAUAGCCACGCGGUGCACCCGGUGCGCACCAGCCGCACCCGCACCGCACCCAUGCUUCAUAAUUGAGAAGACAGCAGCUCAUUUAGGGAGUGUCCUAUUCUCUCUAACCUCCUGAAUUUUUACAGCCAUCAAUGACGGCCACUGACACUAGCUGUGAGUCUGUGGUCGUAAGUGGUCAGCAACAAUAACAAAACACAACUCCUCAGCACCCACAAAGGGAUGUGCAACAGCCCAUCUGGGUAACUAUGAUUAUCUACUUGUAUUGACUUCAGUUUUUUGCUUUACUUGUCCGUUUGAUAGCUUAUUAUUUAUUUAUCGUGUAUGUAGUCUUCUCGCAAUUGCAGAGUAGACCCUGGCAGAGUUCCCCUCGAAGGCUACUGGAACUGCUGUAGACUGGGUGCAGAUGGUUGGGAUGAAGGUAUGUGCAAGAUUUUCGCACUCUGAUAACAUAGAAUACUCACAGAUUUGUAGGAAUGAUUUGUUCUUGUGUUAAAAAUUCAAGUUUGCUCUAGCUCAGAGCAAAUUGCCCAUGUUACAUUUAUUCAACAUCUUCUUUAUAAUAUUUGCAGCCUGGUCCGGAUUCUAUUGGCAUCGUUGCGGUUUCCCGCAAUUGUAGUGGGAUAGCAGCACGAGCCUGCGGUCUUGUUAGCCUAGAGCCCAUGAAGGUAGAUAUCUUAAAUUUUUUGAGCUUCGACUUUGCUUUCUUUUCUUCUUGGUACAUUUGAUGAUUGAAAAGUCCUUUUCUGUUCGUGGUAUAUUUAUGAUCACCUGUUCUGUUUUAGGUCGCCGAAAUCCUUAAAGAUCGUCCAUCUUGGUUCCGUGAUUGCCGUUGCCUUGAUGUUUUGAGUGUCAUUCCUACUGGAAAUGGAGGAACAAUAGAGCUCAUAUAUAUGCAGGUUUGCAUCAUAUUAAGCUGAUGAACUGUCCAUUUUGAGUUGCUUGAAUCUCAAAGUUCUUUCUAUAUAGAGAGUGUAAAAUGCAAGGGGUUUAUUACGUAAUUGUUCUCUCAGACAUGUGCCUACAACAUUGGCAUCGGCCUGAGACUUUUGGACACUGAGAAAUACUACAACUUUGGAAAGAUGGCAGUCUUGUGGUAAAUCAUUACUGUUACUUUCAGGACACUCUUUAUAGAAAUUUAUUGUUAGUCUGGUUACGUUGGAUCUAACACUGGUUCAUAAUUUGCAGAUAUGCGAGAGGUCUCUGACUUCUUUAACUGGUGGUCCACCUGGGCCACCUGCCACAUGUUUUGUAAGAGCUGACAUGUUACCUAGUGGUUGUCUGAUUAGACCUUGUGAUGGCGGCGGCUCUAUCAUCAACAUUGUUGAUCAUGUCAAUCUGGAUGUAAGUCAUAAAUGAAUUUGAGGUCUGCAUUUUGUUGUUCUAGUACCUGAAUUUCUUAUGCAAUGAUUCGUAUGUGUUAUAUCCUUGGAGCGUGCCUAAAGUUCUGAGGCCUCUGUACGAAUCAUCAAGAUUACUUGCUCAAAAGAUGACCAUGGCACUAAGAUCAUCAACCCUGGGGAUUAUGUUAUUAUGUGGCAACUUCUAUUAUAAGUUUGUUCUUACUAAUUUUAUCUACAGUCUUUGAGACAUAUAUGACAAAUCGCACAAGAAUCAAGUGGAGAAAUUCAGUAUACUGGUGGGAAGCAACCUGCUGUUUUGCGAACAUUCAGUCAAAACUGUGCUGGUGAGGUUUUACUCCAAGCUCUAAUGAGAUCUUAGUUAUAAACCCUGUUUAAAGACUUACCAGUGAAUUUAGUGCAUGAGUUCACUUCAUAAUGCUUAUAUCUUUAUAUUACCCUUCGUCUAAGAUUAGAUGAAUUUGGAUCACAGGGGUUUUAAUGAUGCUGUAAAUGGGUUUCUCGAUGAUGGUUGGUCGAUUUUGGGUAGUGACGGUGUGGAGGAUGUUACCAUUGCCAUCAACUCGAAUCCAGGAAAAUAUAACAACACAUUAUCAAUACUGCCGACAUUUGGAGGAGUGCUCUGUGCCAAAGCAUCAAUGCUUCUUCAGGUACUUUUUUUUCACCAGUAUACAUUUUCUAUCAAAUCAUGGUCAGGCAUAUUUUAUUCCAAAAGAAACUUUCAUUAACAUUGCUAAUGGACACUGUGGUUAUAUGCAGCAUGUACCCCCAGCUUUACUUGUUCGUUUUCCAAGGGAGCACCGAUCAGAGUGGGCUGAUUAUGCAAUUGAUGCUUACUCUGCUGCAUCUCUGCAAUCAAGUCCCUAUGCUAUUCCCUACGCCAGACCUGGUGGUUUCCCUGGGACCCAGGUCAUUUUGCCUCUAGCUGAUACAGUGUAGCAUGAGGUAAAAAUCAUGUGUUUUCUAUAUUGGUUAAGUCAUAGGAAUCAUGUUUUAAGUCAUAGGUUUUUUGUGUUUCAAGGUUAGCUAGUUCACGUAUUGCGUUAUUCAGUGACAAAUGUCAUGUAUAUAUAUUUCUAUGACAUGGUACAGAACAAAAGCACUUCAAAUUAUUUCCAAACAUGAAUAUUUCAAAAUUAUUAUUAUCUUUGGUGGUUUUGAUCAGCACUAUGCAUAUUUUUCCAUCAAGUGCAAUGGAAAAAGUUACAUUUUUUUUAGCGGUCGAAUGGGUGCCAAUGUAUUGCGGGAGGGUACCGUGUAUCCCCAAUCUCAUUACGAAUCAGUUCACACUACACGGUCUGAGAAGAUCGCGUCAGGUUGGAGAAAAGGAUGAUGCUGAUGUGGAAAAAGUCGUAAGUAUUUCACCGUACAUUUAUAUAUUAUGCAUAUUAAUUUGUGUGUUUUUUUUUAAUCAAUUUUUGUGCUUUUACUUGUUUUAAAGUAAGCAAUGUCUCUUGGCCAUGGUGACUUAUAAAUAUAAUAUAUACGGUGUCUUGAUAAUUUAUGAUAUCUUUUCUUAUUUUAAUGUAUAAAUUCCAAUAAAAUAUUCAUCCUUAUUAUUAAGAAAAUAUAUUUAAAUUAUUAUUGUAGGGAANNNNNNNNNNNNNNNNNNNNNNNNNNNNNNNNNNNNNNNNNNNNNNNNNNNNNNNNNNNNNNNNNNNNNNNNNNNNNNNNNNNNNNNNNNNNNNNNNNNNNNNNNNNNNNNNNNNNNNNNNNNNNNNNNNNNNNNNNNNNNNNNNNNNNNNNNNNNNNNNNNNNNNNNNNNNNNNNNNNNNNNNNNNNNNNNNNNNNNNNNNNNNNNNNNNNNNNNNNNNNNNGUAGGGAAAAGAAAGAUAGAAGGGACAAAAUAUGUUGAAACGGGGAGAAAUGAUUUUUUAUUGAUGAGAACGAUUUUUAAGACAUGUAUAGUGAUUAUUUCAAAAAUAAAAGAUAUCUUAAGUAUUUCACGAUAAUGUUAAGAUAUUGUUGAAUCACUUAUUUGUUCUAAAUUCCAUAAAUAUUUGUUUAUAAUACCAUUUUAGGACAUGAUUACUUAAAAUAGCAAGCUGAAAAUUUCAUAAACAUUAUAACUAAAUUUUGAAAGUCUGAAAAAAAUAUACUAUUAACGAUUUUCCGCACUUGUAGUGUAAUUUUAAGGCAGUUUUGAAAAAGAGUUGGCCUUUCUUUUUAUUUAUUUUUAAAAAAGCGGCCUUUUUUUUACCCUCGUAAACUAGAAAACACAUAGCUACGUGCAUCAGCAUUCUGCCGAAAAGUGAGAAGCAUCCGCUCUUUUAACUUGCUUUUGUCUCAAAUAAAUUCAAACUAAAAUAAUUAAAAAGCUUAGAUAGUUUCCACGAUCUCCGAUGGAACUUUGGUUUUCAUAGAAAUUUUUUGUGAAAUAUAAUUACAAAUUUUAUUUAAAAAAUCAUAAAUAGAAAUAUAUACAAUUAUUUUAUUAAAAAGUUAUUGAAAAACAUGAACAUGAUUUUACAGAAGAAUACAAUAUAUUCGGAAUUAUUCUACUUUAUAUAGCACCGGUUUCGAAAUUUUUUCUAUAUAUUAAAUGUUAAAUUAUUCAUAAUAUAUACGUUACAGUAUUCUAUAUUAAACUUAUAUAUCAUACACACACACCCCCACACACACAUAUAUAUAUAUAUAUAUAUUAUAAUAAAAUUAAUGAUUUCUAAUGUUAUAUUAUGACAAUACUUAUUUAUCUAUACAAUACAAUACUAUAAUAAUCCAACAUGGGUAUAAUUUGUAAUCCAAGUUUUUAGUUAUAUAUUUUGGUUUAGUACUCUACCUCUCAAACUACAAGUUUGGAAAAUAGGUCUAUCACUCUUACAUUGUUAAAUAGUUUUAAAUACUAAAAACACUCAUGACAAUACAUUAUCCUAUAAUAUUAUUUUAUGAAAAAAUUGUAAUGAUGUUAAAAAUAAAAUUAUAAAUAUCCAAUUUUGAAUAUUUUUUGAACAAAACCCACAUAUAACUUUUAACUCUAACGUGUUCUAUUUCAAUAUAGACAUUAACCAUAAUAGAAAAAUCUAUACUAUACUAUUAAAGUCGAAAUUUUAAAAGUGCGGUCGGUCGGAUUAUGGACCUAUUUAUAUAACCAAUUAUCCUUUUUAAUUAUAAUAUAUUACUUUUUAAAUAUAUUUUUUAACUAAAAAAACUCAAACUUCCACAAAUAAUUUAGACAACAUAUCAAUUACCCUUUUUAACUAAAACACAUUAUAUUUUUAGAUUUCUAAACAUGCAACAUACAUAUAAAAAGAUACUUUCAUUAUAUAUAAUUAUUGAUAAACAACUGAUGAUAGUUUUUAACUAAAAUACAUUAAUAUUAAUUUUAAAUACUUUAAUUAUCUCACUCUAGAACUAAUUUUAUAAAUCUUUACUAUCUGUACUAGAUUAUACAAUAUAUUAUUAUUAUCUUAUUAAAAUAGAAAUAUUAAAAUUUUCGUUUGUCGAUUGUUAUUGAGCCUACGGCCUCCUUAAUUUAUAAUGUUUCUCACAGAAUUUUUAAUUAUCUAUUAUUUGGUUGGUAUGAUCGAUUGAUAUUUGAAUUUACGGGGUUCUAACUUAUAACAUGUUUAAUACUAUAUUAUUAAUGACGAAAUUCAAAAAGAUUGAUUGGUUGAUUGAUAUUUGGGCUUAUUGAUCUCCUUAAAUUAUGUUAAAUUAUAAAAUUCUCAUUAAACAUAUAUUUUCGAUUAGCCAUUUGACAUAGCAUAAUUAUUAACUUAAAUAAAAAGAACUUAUUUAACACACUAAAUUAAUUAAAAUACAUCUUCAAUACGUUAUUAAUUUUAAAAGCAUAUUUUAUUAAAGGACACAUUAUUCUAUCAUAAAUUUAUCUUCACAAUAAGAAUAUUAGUUAAAUUUAAAAUAUAUAUGAUAAUAUUACAAAUAUAAUGAACCCGACGAGUAAAUAUGAAUUUAUUUUAUUUUUGUUGCUUUAGUUGUUAAUAAAAAUAACUAUAACAUGAUUCAUAGUUCCUCACAAUUUCGCAGAUUAGAAACAGAAUAAGAGAUCUUCGAGCUUAUUGUCCUUCAAUUGCGUCGGGAAGGCCGGAAACUACUUUUUGGGUGCAUGAGUGGAGGGUUCAUGGAAAAUAUUCCGGGUUUAAAGCGGAUGAAUAUUUUCAGCUGGCGAUUGAAGUUAGUAAAAUGCAAAAUGUCACAAAAAAUUUAAAUGAUAAUCUUAUAACUGAAGACCAAAACUUCAAAUAUUCUGUUGAUCAGAUUCAGACUACCAUUAGAAGCGUAACAGGCUUUAAUCCUGUUUUGACAUGUCUUCGUCGCAGACAGUUCCAAUAUGAGCUUAUGGAAGUACAUAUUUGUAUAAAAAAGGAUAUCAAAGAUCAUCUUAUGAUACCUGACUAUGCAGCAUGCGACUACUCGACAAAUACAUGCGGCUGGUCGACAACUCGACCAAGUUUACGACUCCUGCCAGCUCCGGAUCCGGAUAUAAGUUUGCCUCCGCCUCCGCCUUCGUCAGAACUAACUUUCUUGACUCAGGUAUAUAAGUUUGCCUCCGCCUCCGCCUUCGUCAGAACUAACUUUCUUGACUCCACCUGAGGGUGAUUAUAAUUACGAAGAUUAUUUUUUUACCCUGAUUUUGACCCUGAUCAGCCAGAUUGAGCCAAAACAUUAACAUCCGAAAUUUUUCAAGUGGGGAAGAACAUUGUUCUGAUGUAGUGUAGACAUACUCUGUAAAAGCACUAUGUUUCUGUAAUAUACUUUUAUUUAUACGCAGCUAGCCAGCCUCCCCUAUGAAUUCCACCAGCGUACUUGCCUUUGUAUAACAAGGUUCAUUAUGGUGGUUUAAGAUGAGUCAGUUGGGUUGCGGCUUUAAAUUGGUGUAAGGUUCUUUUGGUGUAAUUGGUACUUAAUGAAUUGAUCUUGUGUCUUGAUACUCUUGCAAUAUAUGUAUUCUCUUCAAUCAACAUGUAGCCAUGUAAUAUAUAUAUAAUAGCAUAUUUAGGUUAAUGACAUGAAUGUUCCCCACGAGGUGUUAAGUAUAGUAUGUUCUCAGCUACUACAGCGUUUGAAUAGUGGUUCUUGUUCAAAAGCUGAUACAAAUAUAUUAUCCUCUAAAACUGUUUUCUGUAUAUAGAAUAUUUUGUCCCUUUAUAGUGACAAACUACUAAAGUGUAUUGUAUAAAUACUUGAAGACUUGGAUCAUGUGUCAUAAUUAACUACUAAUUCUCUGCAACAUUAUGUUGAUCAGCGUGGCAAAAUCAUUGAAAGGAGGAGCUUGACAACAUCCUUGUUCAAGAGAAAACUGAGCAAAUAGAGGUAUUUAACCAUUUGACAACGUAGCUUUAUCUUUCUACCAUGAUAGUUUUCACAGCUUUAUUAUUUGUUAAUUCUAAAUAGUUAUCAUUUUAAAAUUUCCCCUAUCUGAGAUUUAUCAGGUCAUAGGCUUUUUUUAAGGGUUUGGUCAAGUGAUUAUAUAUCCCUGAGAUGACAAAAUCGUACACAAUAAUUACUAGUCACUGCCCAUCAAAAACUGGUAGUUAACAUUUGACAGUAAUAUGGACACAUAUAUGGUGCAAAUCUAAAUUUUCAAUUCCACUCCAAAAUAAUUGGAUGCAGCAAAAUUUUAAUGCAGUUUUAUAGUCGUCGCUGAGUUUUUUUAAUGUUAUCUGGACUGCCCGUUGUUUUUGCUAUGCUUUAUUGUUCAAAGAGCCAUGUAUCGGAUCAGGUUGAUUAUAGCCGAUUUAUGGUAAACAAGAAUAUCUUUAGUUAAAUCCAUAAAGCAGAAAGCAGGUUCAUAGCUUGACCUUGACCUCAGCUGUAAUCAUGAUGAGUAGUAGGAUGUGAUAGCAUUUCGCUUGAUGCCGUUGACCAAUCAUUGAAUCAUAAACCAUGGAAGCUUAGAUGAACAAGAUCAUUAGUUAAAAUAUGCAUCAAAGCUUCUAAUUUUGUAGCUAGAAGAUCUUAAUGUUCUUAAAAUGUUACUUGCCCUUUUACCUUUUACCUCUGAUUUCUUGUGCAACAGACAACAGAUAUUGAUGAAGCUAUGGCACAAGCAGUUGAUAUCGGGGAAAAUGACGUAAGCUUCCUAAUUUAUCAGUCAUGGAAGUUGGUCUUACAUUAUUUUCAAUCAUUAUCCUACUUUCUACAAAUUUGGUAUCCACAGUGCAAAUCUUUAUGCUAGUUGGUUUCCAAUGUUUGGUAACACUUUUGGUUUUCCUAAGAUAGGAUGAAGGAGAAGCAGUGAUGCCGAGAGUAGUGAAGAGGGCGAGAAAAUUACACGCAAUUGGAGUGUCCUAAAAAGCACUCCUGAACUUCGUAAGACAAAGGUAAUCCACUUUCUAUUCUGCUGUAGUUUGUUUAGGCUUCUCCACUUAGGUUGUGUUCACUUGGUGUGAAUGGAAUGGAGGGAGAAUGGAAUGAAUUUUGUACUCUAAAAUGGUGUUGAUCAAAGAAAAUGUAUAUAAUUUUCAUUCUUUCAAUUAUUCUAACCUUACUAUUUUGACUAUAACUCUAACCCACAUGUUUUGGAAGGAAUGCGCAUUCCAUUUCAACACCAUAUUUCUUCACAAUCUUUCUCACAAAAAAUUAACUACAUUCAUAUUUUGUUACCAUUAUCUCAUACUUUCUUCUUUCUCCUUAAAACUUCUAUAUAAUUUUUCAUUCCAUUCUCCCCUCAUUCCAUUCCAUGAAGUGAACACAGCCUUAUAUGCUCUAAUGUGUCUUAAUGUCGGGGUGGAUGAUUAUUUGAUAUAUGACUGAACCUUUUUGGCUUAAAGAUGCUGUCAAAACAUAUUUAUAUGGCUUAACUUAAGUAUCUUCCACACAGUCUUGAGGAAAACAAUCUAUCACUCAAAAGACUGAAUUCACGUGCUCCAGUUAACUAUCUGAGUGUUCAAAUUUAGUUGUCAUGUCAACAACCAAUAGUUUGUCUUGCUUUGUAAACAUACGAUUUUCAUGAGUACACUUUGAAUUUCAUGAUUCCAGGAGAAGGCAAAAAGAGAACUAAAUAAUUCUUUAUGUUCACGAUCAAUUCUGUCUAACAUGCUUGUUUCCUUAAAUGUUUCAUUACUUCUGUAGAUACUAUAAUGUGUUGUUUUACUUGCAGGAAAAACCUAGGAAGAAUGGCAUGUCUCUUGACGAAGCUAUAGAUGAUCCGGAGAACAUAACUGACUUUAUUCUGGAUUUGGACGAGGACGUACGAGUAAUGUCUAUCAGAUGCUAAAAUACUGAGGUAAGUUGAUGAGAUUUAGUUAAGGGGAAUCAGACAGAGACCUACAUUGGUUUACAUGUCAUGGAGUAUACUUGAAAGACAACAGCUGAGACAUUAGGGCAAUCAUAAUAGAUUUAAGAGUUACUGAUUUUAUAUGUAACUCCUAUUUGGUGACUUCUAAAAAUGAAGAUUGUUAAGGAAUUGUGAAGAUUGUAAUUUUGGGAAAGUGCCUGGUCUUUAAAACCUUUUGCGUCCCUCCAAAAUAUUUAAUUUUCAAACCAAGUCCUGCGAAAUCUAUCUUUUGUUGCUGGCUUAAUAGGAUAUCUAAAUCCCACACCCCCAGAAGAGCUCACACAAGUGAAAUAUAAUUAGGCGAGAAUAGUUUGCUAGUGCAUGUUUUCAUUCCAAUGUGCACUUUGUAACUGCUCGAUUAUACUUAUAUGGGUUUUGUCAAUAAUUUGAUGACGUAAUUAAACGGUCAGUUUUUCAUGUAACGCAGAUAAUGAAUAAUGAAUUUCCACCAGAAGUGAAUUCAGAUUAAAUUCUUUCAUAUGAAUUAUCAAUUACAUAAGUUAAUAUAUAGUAGAUAAUAGUGAUGCAGGACAACAAUUAUUAAAAAAAGAAAAGAAAAAAAAGAAUGAUAGCUGAAAGAUUGGCUUGGGUGACUUAGUCGUACAAGAACCACUACCCAGGGGUUUCCCUGUGGCAGAAUCCAGAAAAGUCUUUGUAUAGCAAUCCUCAAUAUGUCUCAAUUUUGAUAAUAAUCAAAGCCUGCAAAUAAUAAGAACAUCUGCUUAUAUAGGAUUCAAACCCAAUCUUGGAUGAUAAGAAAAUAGACCUGAUAGGUAUCUUGAUUUCUAGUGUUUAACUAUUAUUACUAUAUAUCUAAUUUAGGUUAUUCCCCGGUAAUCUUCUUUUUAUCCAAAUUAAACUUCAGUAUGAAUCACUAACUAAUUAGCAAAAAUUACAACAUCGCUAAAUUUCUUCCUGUGCAUUAAUCAGCAGAUGCUUGAGAGUUUCGAAAACAGCUUUCUAUUAGUAGAACGUUUGAUACUUCUUACUUCAGAACCUUAAUACAACUGUGAUGCUAAGCUUCAAGCGUCUUUUCUUCUUUGUUCCAAUCUUUUAUGCGUUUUUCAGAUUCAAUAUCUGUAACAGGGUUAUCAUACGUUACCCAGGAGUUCUUUCCUUUGCGCUAUGAUGUUAUAAAUUAAUAUAAUUGAAGUCCUUUAUUAUGGCUGCAUCAAUUCACCUAAAAACAAAAUCCCACUUUGACAUGAUGCCCAUCCAUAGUUUUGGCUAUAGAUGCAAUUUUUAAACAGAUAGAUGAACAAUAGUUGUCACUGGACUGGGCAGGGGGGAGAAACACCUGAUACUCUGAUAGCUGGGUAUAUAUAUAUUGGUUUGUGGUCAAAAUGUAAAAAAUGUUUAUUGUCGAGUUAUGCUUCUGAAGGCCUGUACUUAAAAGACAAUCGAGACAAAAGUUUCCAACAUUACAGCCAUGGCCCUAUUGUAAGCUCAACUAUAUAGCUGGGAGAAAUGCUUCGAUCAGGAAUGUUGAACUAAUAUUUUGGACUCACGUAUUUAUGAGAAAAUCACAAUUUUUUAAUAAUGGUGAACUCUGCAUAUAUACAAAACCACAUUAAUCAAAUUGAAUUAAAAAUAUAUUUAAUAUUUAGCAUGUGCCAUCGCACACACUAGUCAAACUGUUAAUAAUAAUAUAUGAAUUUUAAUGGAUAGUAUGUAAUUUUGAUUUUACACGUAGUUUAAUGAAUUCUAAAUAAAGUAUAGUAGAAUCCAUGUAGAUCGAGUUCUUAGUAUUUGAAUACAAUAUUUUAAAAUUUUAUGAAUUAUAAAAAGAUUUCAAAAUCAAUACCCUGUUAUAUUAGUUUUAAUAUUUUAAAACUACAAUAUUAGUUUGUCAAACAACUACAACACCACUGUUAUAUCUACAAAAACUCCAAAUAUAAUUAUAUAUAACGUUUGCCUAUUAGAUUGAAUAUAACAAUUACGACUUAAAAUUUGAAUUUUAUUCGAGAUUAAAGACGCUAUAAACGAACUUAUAUGUGUUGAUCUUUGAAUAUUAUUUUCACAAUUUAAAAAUCAUCAAACAAUAUAAUGAUUUUACUAAAAUAAAACAUAUUGUUAGAGUUCCAUAAAAUCCACAUUUAAGCUGUAGUAAGUGCCGGUUAUAAUCUUUUAGUUUAGUUGUAAAUAAUACGGAAGCUAGCUUUACAAAUCAAAUUUAGCGCAACUCCAGAGAGACUCGAAUCCAACACAUCAAACAGUAGAAUAGACUAAAAAACCAACAAACUAAAAGAACAUAGGAAAAAGCUUGAUCAUUAAACAAACGAUAACCAGAAAAUUGAAUACUUUUCUCGACAUUAAUUACCAACCAUCAGCAGCAUAUCCCUUCCCUCAAACACCCCUUAAUCUUGGAUGCCACCCAUUCCAGCACCUUCAUCUGCAUUCUCUUCAGUUAGGUCGAUGACCGCAGGCCUCCCUCUGCCAUCCCUAAAUUCUGCCAUGAUUUCGCCUUCCCCAAAGUUCGGUUGAACCUCCAAAAACUCAGCUUGCGGACCCAAUCCCAUGUCCAUGUCCAGUUUCUCAUGCAAUUCCUCGAACGGCUGCGGAACUUCAACCAGUGAAGAGAAGUUGGACAUCCCAUACUGAGCUUAGUUGUAUUGUCAUAGAAUUCUAUAUCAUGAAUAAUCGUUAUGUAAAAAAGUCCUGAUCAAUAUAUACGUCUUAUAUCAUUUAAUAAGGGUAUAAUACUUUUAAUAGGAGUUUAUAAUAUAUGAUGAUCAAAUUUUGGUACUCUGGUACUAAUAUUCCACCGAACGUGGUUUCGCUUAUUAAUAAAGGGUAUUGAUGGCAAAAUUCUGAAAGAUGUAUGUAUAUCAAAUAUGCAUGAAUACUGGAUUUUAAAUUCACUUUCAGAUUGAUCACAAUCCUCGUCAUUUUCUUCCGACUCACAAUUAGGAAUAGUCGCUGUAAACAGACAACUGUGAGCUUGUGACUCCCUAAACUACAGACUUUUGUCUCUUUAUCACACUUCUUAUCAUAAAGUAACAAAACCCCUAAGCCCUUUUCUUUGCCCUAAUUUCUAAUGGAGUGAAACUAAAAGGCCUUUGUUUGCUCUUGCUUACUUCAUUCUGAAUUGGCUUACUAAAUGAGGUUUGCUAGCAUUGGAGCUGAAAAUUGAGGGUUGAAAAGGCUCUGAAGCAUGUGCAAAGGCUGGUGCUCACUUUAUUCCCAUCAUGAAUAAGCUUGAUCAACUCACUUAAUUUUGCAUCUAAUAGCUUUUCUUGAUCUUUGAAUUAUAUAUGAAUUGAUCUUGAUUGUUCUUUUAAUCUUUUGUCAAUUUAUCAUGAUUGUUCUCAGAGAUUUUUAUCAAGAGAUUUUGACUGUUUCAUAUUAAAUGAAUUUGCAACUAACAGAAUACACCAUCUUUUGGCUACAUAUAUACCAUUGAUUCUUAUUGUCUUUUGCCCCUUGUUCCUAAAAGGAUCAGAUCUGUAAUUACUUUUCGGUUUAAAUUUGUCACUGGUAAAAAUUGAUUGAAAGUCUUUCUUUAUUUUAGACAUUUUUUUUUUAUUUAAGUUAAUAUGUCGUUCUGUUCACCUGACAGAGGUUUUGGUUAGAAAAAUGUAGUGGGAAGAUGUGCCUCAAAAUGACAUGAAAACUCUCAAUCACACAGCUUGAAACAGAUUACUGGACGAGAAGGUGGAAUUUUACUGUCAUUUUGUUUUUGGGCAAUAAUUACCUUUUGUUACUUAGAGAUCUAUAUGCAUGUGUUGUAUGAUAAGUUUUUCAUGUUGUCAUUGUUAAAAACAGCGUAUAACAGUAUCCGGUGCUAGGUCAUGUGAUUUGGUUUGAAGUGUAUGGAAAAAAUACCCACUUCAAGAUUGUCAUGAGACAGCCUAUGAAGCUUAUCUUGUGUUUAGUCUCUCGGAUUACGUUUGCUAUGGACUUCACAUGCCUAUAAAGGCUUCUGUUGGGAUCCCAGGGGAAGAAAUCACAAAGGAGCUUAUAUUUGGACCCUCGAAUAGCCAAGUCCGGGAGCUGUAACCAUUAUCCAAACACAAAGCCGAGGGAAGGACAUCCCUUAACAGAAGUUACGUUUUUCAUUUUUUUUUUUUUUGUGCAAGAUUCUGUGCAAAUCAGCACGCUGCCAUCAUCAAAGGUUUACCUAAAUUUGGAAAUCGAUGCCGUGACUCUAAUGCGGAAUAGGUCUGUGAAUAGUAUAUCCUUAAAAAUUUAUAAUGUGUUUCAGCAGUGAUGAUGCACUAUUUGGUUCAUUCCAUUCUCAAAAUAUCACACAUUGCAGGCUUAUUGAAGAAGGAUACAUAAUUGGUGAUGGGAUUUCUAAAAUAGCAGUGCAAAACUAUGUUGCUCCUGCCAUAGAGAUGUUUGGUUUAACAGAACCCGGCGAGAUAGGAGGAACAGAGAGCAUCAGGGUUUGAAGAUUUCAGCCAAAAUAUAUACCUAUAUUUUGCAGUUGCAAAAGAAAUAUUCUAACAAUUUUGUUAUAAUUUCUGUCAACAGAAACAGGUUUUCUGCAUUGUAAAGAAUAGCAGUGUUGAACAAAAGGUACAGCUCGCGGAUGCCAGACCGGACUUGAGAAAAAGGAAGGAAAGUUAUAUUGUCAUCAUUAGGAACCUCCCAGUAGCAGAAAUAAGGUUCGAUACACGAACAAGACUGCUUAAAAAACCUACUACAUUCUUUUACUUGGGUAUUGUACGUGAAUGCAAAAAAAAACAUUGUUCUGCUCAAUGUUUAUUUACAAGUUUAGGAUUGUUAUACUUAGAGAUGAUGAGAAAGAAGCUUUUAAUUUCAUCCUGAUGAACCGUGCAACAAAGAGAAGGCACGACUGCAACAAAAUUGAUUGCAGACUUCCUCAAGGUAUGUAUAACUUCAACACACAUACCACAAGCAUUUUCAUUACAACAACCAACACUUUCAAUUUUCUUUGUUUCUUGGGUUCAAGAAGACACCAAAUGCAUUUCCAAAGGAAGUUACUGAACUAACCUGGAAAGAAGUACGGCUGCUGAUAGAAAUUAAGAAGGACAAUGUGGUUUCCAAAAGAAAGCUUUUUGUUGCUACAGAUGCUUAUAAAUCAGGGACUUCUUCUUCUGGAAUAACAUCUACUACAUUCACGGAAUCAAACAUGGAUACCAUAUCAGCUGCAGCCUGCAGAUGUAAGUUCAUGCCUAAAGAACAUAAAUAUAUAGUUGAUUUUGUAAGUUUUACUUAGAGGUCUGAAAUAUUUAUCCAUUUCUUCAAGCAUGAGACCUAUAACAAUUCUUAACUAUCCCAGGAUUCUAGCUUUCAGUUGGGUGAUUCUUCACACUCCAGGUUCUGCAAAGUCAGCUAGCAAGAAAAAAAAAAGGGUCAGUAUUUCUCCUAUUAAAUAUUUUUUUGUUUACGUUUUGAUAUAUCCUUUUCAUAUUUUUAACGAUAAACUUCUUCGAGAAUACAUUUUAAGGAGGUUUCUUUGUUUGAAACAGGAGAAAUGGAUGCUGCUAUUACCGGAAGAACAACACUGGAGACAUAGAGUUUCAAGAUUGGAAAUUACCUGUGGUUAAUAACAGCCGGUUUACGAAAAUUUGCCUAUGAAUUACUUAGUUUUGGAUAUUCAUUUUCUAUUUAAUUUGAGUACUCAAAGACUUCAUGCAUUUCAUUCUCAUUUAACUUUUUACAUAAUUGUUGGUUUUUGAUCGUAUUUUCAUCUUUAUUAGAAAUAUUUGGAAGAUCUAUGCUACAAUGUUUCAAUACAUACAUAAUUAUAAUAAUUUAUCGGAUUUUCUAGUGUGUGCGCAUAACAACCACUUUUUGUUGAGGUGCAGGGUUUUUAUUGGCCAAAACCUCAUUAAUAAUCAUGGCCCCUACAUAUGCACAAAAAUGACCUGUAAAAGCCCUCCACCUCAACAAAAAGUAAUUGUUAGUGUGUGUUCAUGGGCACACACUAGAAAAACCCAUAAUUUAUAUCAGACAAAAAUAAGUUACAAAAUUCAAAAAUAAAAUACAAACACAGAUAAUAAAAAUUUAUAAUAAUUCAACGAAUAAAUGAAAUAUAUAACUAAAUAUAACAACAUUACCGUGUGCGAAGCAGGAGCAAUAUUACUAGUAAAACCAAAAAUGAAAAUAUAUUGACGCAUGCUGGUGCCCAGAUUGCAGCUUCUGAGGGUGUUAGCUAAGUCACAGGUUUUCAAUGUGGAACAGAUAUAUUCUCUUUUGUGUGAUUCACCUGUCAACAAAUAACAUAUAUAUCAUGACCUUUUCUGAGUGCGGCUUUUUGAGGGUGUUAGAUAGGUCAAUGUCUAACAGAUUUAUUCAAUUUCGUGAGAUUCACCUAUCAACAAAUAACACAUAUAUAUUUCAUGAUCUUUUUGGUACAAUAUUAGAUUAGAAAGUAAAUUAUGUUUGAAAAGAGACUGAAAAUAUAAAUGUCUCCGAAUUAUUGUCGUCUUUGCUAGUUUUUAUCAUUGUUAUGCAUAUUUGUCCGUUAACUUUAACAGGAAAGGUUGGAUUCUUGCUGUUGCAUGGAUUUCAUUCUUUUGCGAGAGGGUACCGUGCAUUCCCAAUCUCAUUCUCAAUAAAUUUACAACAUAUAGUCUGAGGAGGUCGCACGAGAUUGCAUCUAAGUGAUGACGAUAUGCAAAAAGCGGUAUGUGUUUCACCAUACAUUUAUAUAAGGUUAAUGAUCAAGUAGUUCACUUACUUGAUAAUUAUUAUUAAGUAGGUGACAUGAUAAUUAACCCUAUAUAAAUGUAUGGUGAAACACAUACCGCUUUUUGCACAUCGUCAUCACUUGAUGCAAUCUCGUGCGACCUCCUAAGACUACGUGUUGUAAAUUUAUUGAGAAUGAGAUUCGGAAUGCAGGGUACCCUCCCGCAAAAGAAUGGAAUCCAUGCAACAGCUAACAAGAAUCCAACAUUUUCCGUUGAAGUUAACGGACAAAUAUGCAUAACAAUGAUAAAAACCAGCAAAGACGACAAUAAUUCGAAAACAUUUAUAUUUUCAGUAUCUUUUCAAAUAUAAUUACUUUUGUUUUAAUCUAAUAUUGUAUCAAAAAGUUUAUGAAAUAUAUAUAUGUUAUUUGUUGAUAGGUGAAUCUCACAAAAUAGAAUAAAUCUGUUAGACAUUGAAAAUAUGUGACCUAGCUAACACCCUCAGAAGUUGCACAGAAAAAAAGUCAUGAUAUAUAUAUAUAUAGAGUGUUACUCUAGUGAGAACCCUUAAAAUGAGAACUAAAUGAGAACCAUGUCGAAACAUAGCAAAUAUGGUAUGGAAAUUGAUCGUUCAGAGAUGAAUAAAAAUUCAAUGAAGUCGGAUUUUGAAAAAAGUUUACCAAUUGACGGGAAAAAUCAAAUUAAAAACGGAGGGGAAUCUGUGGAUCAUGUGUGGGAGGGUACAGGUUCAUUGUGUGUGGUGAAUUCUAGGGGGGCCAUCCAUUAAGGUCUCCACCUAGCUAGCCGAAAAAAAAAAUAUAAAAAAAUCACUGAUGACGUGGCAGUGGACCUUUUUUUUUGAAUUUUUUUUUUGACUAGCUAGGAAGAGACUAGUUUUAUAUACAUUUUUUAUAUUGCGCACCCACUAGUUUGAUGUUUAGAUUAGCCAAAAUAUGAUAAAUUAAGGAAAUUCUCACGGUUCUCAUUUUAAGAAGUUCUCAUUAGAGUAACCCUCUAUAUAUAUAUAUGUGUGUGUAUAUAUAUAUAUAUAUAUAAAUUAUCAGUGGCGGAACCAAGAAUAAAAUUUAGGGGCUCAGAUAUUUAGUUAUAAAAUAUCCAUAAUAUGAAAAAACAUACAAUAUUAAAAGAAAAUGCAACUAAUCUUUAGUUUCCAGAGCUAACUCAAAAGGAUAAGCAGUGUGUACGGGUGUCUCCGAAUUAUAAUGACAUCAAUAAUUUAGCGGGUGCUAAAAAAAAAUUCUGCUAUUCUUUCAAGGUCGGGGGCUCUAGCAUCCCCUACCCCUCUUGGUUCCGCCACUAUACAUUAUCUGUUUCUUUGUGAAUCACACAAAAGAGAAUAUAUUUAUUACUAGUAUUUUUGCAUGCUACGCUUGGUAAUUUUUAUUUUUAUAUACAUAGAAAAUCUGUGACCUAACCAACACCUUCAAGUAGAGGUGGCCAAAUGAGCGGGUUCGAACUGCUCGUUCGGAACCGGACCGGAUAAAAAUCGUUAAAAUUCGACUCGUGACGGGUUUGAUUCGGCCCGGCCCGACUCGUUAAAUUUUACGAAUCGAAUACGAAUCAUUAGGUAGGAAUUCGGAACCGGACCGCGAAUCAUACGAAUCUGACCCAAACGAAUCAUCGAACGAACGAGCUGAACGAAUCAUCCAACGAGCCGGUCAACGAAUCAGUCAAACGUUAAAUUUUUUAAUAUUUUCUUUAACUUUUUAUCUUCCUACUUUUAUUUAAUAUUAAAUAAAUAUUUUAACAUCUACAAAGUCAUUAGAGUUAUAAAAUUAGAGUACCGUAAUAUUUGGAAUAUAUAUAGGCCAACAUUCCAGAGAGGGACUCCUUAUAUGGAGUUACAUAGUGCGCCACUAUAAAUCAUCAAUUUUAUUAUAAAUUCUAUUAUAGAAUACAUAUAAAACGUGAUUCUAAUAUAGAAUACUAUAAAAUAAAUCUAUUUUAAGUAAUUUAACACUUAAAAUUUGAUUAAAAAAAAUAUAUUUUCGAAACUGAUUCUACAACAGAAUAAUUCUGGAUGAUUAUUAUUCUGUUAUAGAAUCAUGUUGAGAUAUUGCAUAAUUUUAGAUGAUCUUUGGAAUAAAAAAAUUGUAUAACUUCGUUUUCGGUUUAAUAAUCAAAAUUUGCAAUUAUAUUUCAUAAAAAAUAUAAUAGAAUAUAUAUUAUGUAUAUAUUUAUAAUGGUGUGCUACGUAACUCCAUAUAAGAGGGUAUGCUAUGGAGUGCUACCCUAUAUAUCAUAUCAUAAUUGUAAAAAUUUAAAAUUUUAAUAAUAUAAUAUUUAUUACUUUAUAUUAAAAUAACAAUUUAAUAAUAAUUCUAAAAAUUAAUUCAUACAUCAAAACAAUUUAAAAAGUCUAAAGACCUAUUUUAUAAUAUUAAAUAAUAUUCUAUAAUUUAAUGUACAUGUAAAUAUGAAUCGAGGAGGAAGGUAAAUAUCGAGUUUUAUAUAUUCAAAUGCCCAGCGUUAGUUUGAAUAAUUAUUUAAUAAAAAACACUUUCAAAGUUUGUAAAUGGUAAGAAACUUGUGCAAUUUGAAUCAGACGAAUUAUUACACGAAUCGAACGAAUCAUGCGAAUCUAACGAAUCAUUCGGUCCACCCGCCCGCGAGUUCCAGGUUCCUUUGUUUCAUGCUUUAUUUUAUUUUUUCCUGACUUCUUUUCUCUUGACUUCUUUUAUUUAUAAAAUAAAAUGAUUAUUUAAAACAAAUAUUUGAUUAAAAAACAUAAAAAAUAAAUUAAAAAAUAAAAUAAAAAUGAACCGUUUCAACUCGUGAACCCGCGAAUCGGUUCACGAGUUGAUUCGUUACGAAUCGGCCCGGAACCGGACCGGCCCGCGUAAUCAGACGGGCCGGUUACGAAUCAUAUAUCUGUAGCCCGGCCCGAUGAAAAUUCGGCCCGGCCCGCCCGUUUGGCCAGCACUACCUUCAAGCAAGCUUCAUUUUGUGCACCAAGCAUGCGUCAAUAUAUUUUUAUUUUUGGUCUUAUUAGUAAUAUUGCUCUGCUUCAGGUCAUGUUGUUUUCUUUUAUUUUUGCUAAAUCAAUUUAUGUGCUUUUACUUAUUUUAUAGUAAAGCAUCAUGUAUAAAUUUCUUUUAUUUUUGUUAAAUCAAUUUCUGUGCUUUUACUUGUUUUAGAGUAAGUAAAGCAAUGUAUAAUAUUAUCAUGUAUAAAAUUAUUAAUAUAAUUCUAAAAUAUUCUAUAAUUAUCUUUUGAAAUGAUCCUCUAUAUAUUUGUAAUAUCAAAUAUCAAUAAUAAAAAUAAAUUAAAACUAGCAUUUUCAAAUUCUGUUGCGCAAACAUCAAGAACAACCUGUUAAGCUUUGCCAAACAAUAACAUAAUGUAAAAACAAUGAGAAAAUGAGAUGCAAAUUACCAGAGUACUCCCAUCAAAGAUGACAUGAUUAUCAAUGAGGAAGAGAAACACAUCUUUCUUGUAGCAUUCCUCAGGUAGCUUUCCGAAUAAAUCAGCGUCUUCAAUCUCUUCUCCGGCCAUCGGUGUUUAUACUCUCACGCCUUUGUUAUGAAGGCUUGGUUCAUAUCCGCUCAUCUAAAUUAGACGAGUG
Molecule: long non-coding RNA, 25212 nt
Filed under: Daucus carota (carrot)
Lineage: Eukaryota; Viridiplantae; Streptophyta; Magnoliopsida; Apiales; Apiaceae
Description: long non-coding RNA (DCAR_LNC000736)
Source: RNAcentral